AUUCAUUACAACAAUCCUAAGAAGAAAAAAAAGAUCUCUGCCUCCUUCUUCCACUCUCUUCUCCUUUACGAUAUUCCUUCUUCUUCUUCUCCUUUCUCUUUUUCUAGACUCUACUACAUCUUUCUCUUCACAUUCCCUUCAUUUUUUUUCUUCUAAAUCUGAAGCUUUAAUCCAUGGCAGCUAUGACCGAGAAUCUCCCUCAACUUAAUCCGCCUUCAAUGAGUUUACAGCGUGAGUGAAAAUGUUAGAAACGGAUUCAUCACAGCCGCAGCCGCAGCCGCAGCCGCAGCCUCAGGGAACAAGACGGGCGGAGAACAUCGUUGCUGUCACGGUUCCAUCACAGCCGCAGCCGCAGCCGCUCAACCAGCGGCUCAUAUCUUUGCGAAAACCCUAAUAUUUUAUUGGGUUGGGCUAUAUUAAUUGUAUGUUUGGGUUUUUGUUAACUGUAUUUUGGGCCUCUUAUUGUAUUUGUAAUGGUUUUUUGUCGAUUUGGAUUUUGUCAUAGAGUAAAUUUUCAUAUUUUUAAUAUGUGAACCGAAGUAGAAACCGAAUAAACCGAAGAAAAAAAAUUUGGUUCAA
Molecule: long non-coding RNA, 579 nt
Organism: Camelina sativa (false flax)
Lineage: Eukaryota; Viridiplantae; Streptophyta; Magnoliopsida; Brassicales; Brassicaceae
Source: RefSeq, a predicted model, not a curated record